CCACAUGUAAUCUCACAUGGCCUGUAUCUAUUUUUUUGGUUAUAUAAUACAUAUCUCAUCUAUAAUAUGUAGUAUACGUGAAAAUAAUAUGAUGCAUACCCUGGCAUUGCAUUGAUGUUAAAUAUAUGUAAUUUUUCUUGUUUAGUUUUCAGCUUUUAAAAUCUAAAAACUCAACAUAUAUCUUCAAUCAAGCUUUAAAAUUGAUAAUUAAGAAAAAACUGUUUUAUUUAAUUUUAAUUAGUUGAUAACUAAAAAUGUUACAAGUCUGGAGUUUUAAAUAGACAAAUGCUAGAAACUGCAAAAUAAUUUUACAUCCAUUUAAAUCCACAGAAAAAUAAAUUAUUACAAAAAGUGAUGUUUGAUUUUAAAUUAAACCCAUACAAAAAAAUUAAUAGAGAUGAUUUAAAUUAUCUUUUUAUAUAUAAAGGAGAGUUGAAGCUAUCUUGCAUGCAAUUUCUUUCCUUUUCUGUGUCAACUUUUGCCGGCCACUCGACGAAUAUUCCUAUUUCUACAUCUAACUCCUCUUUAAGCCUUUCAGAUUGUAUCCAUUAUUCAUUCUAUUUCAUUUUUCUACAGUCUUUACUUAUUGUUCAAACCUCGAAACCUUUCUAUUUCUGGCUUUUUAUUUCUUUUGAGAAUAUUCCAUCACGAUUCGCAGAAUUUGGUGCCCUUCAUUCGAACAUACGCUUCAAGUCCAUAAUAUAUUGGGCCUACCACAUAUGAAAACUAGGCCCAUAGUUUAGCUUAUUCUGUUUCUUCAUUACGCAACAUAUUCUCAACGAACAAAUAGUGUUCUUGUUAGAGAAGUUUACUUUCUCUUCGUAUGGAAGGAUGCGAAGGCAACAAGUAAAUGCCCAUGGAGACAUGUGUCAUUUCAACAAUCUAAAAUACUGAAGGUUUGUUAACUUUGAUGACCAUAUAACGUAUAUGAUAAUAACAAAACUAGUAGUAAGGUAAGUAACAAAUGAAUGAGCUGACACCAAGGAAAAGUAAUAAUAACGAAACUACUGAUCACCUUGUUGUAUCUUCUCUUGAGUACAAUAUUAACUGUUGGCCACUGCAGAAGUCGGAGGUUGACGUCAUCGUGAAAGACGGCCACCGUGCAUGUUGAUGUUGUUGAGGUGGAAUACGAUGGAAACGAAAAAACCAACACUUGAGUCUUGCUUUCACGGUUUCACCGCCGGGGAGAAGAUAAGAGAAGACAGAAGGCGAAAGAGAGAAGUGUUUAGAAUUAUGAAUAGUGAUAGAAAUGGUGUUUUCUCUUCCGGCUAUCGGCCAAGUAGAGGAGCGUGAACUCCACAUUUCACCCGGAGAGCUCAUAUGCCAUGAGAUCGGCAAGUGUAACCACAAGAGGAUGGGAGAAUUACUUGUUAAGUUUAUUCACUUUCAAAAUAAAAUUAAUUGGCUAUUUGCCAAAUAUUUUAUAUAUUAGUAUUUAUUUUUUUGACUAAAUAUAUAUUAGUAUAAGACCACUCUCCUCUUUCAUCAAAAACCUCUUCCUUCUCUCUUCGAAUCUCCAUUGUUGAAGCUUGUUCUCCGACUCCGGUUGCUCCCUUAGAGCCAGAGUCGGGUCUUUGAUUUUGGCUUUCUUCCCAUGGCGUUUCGAGUUGUCUCUUCUCCGUCUCUGUCAUUCCGGUCGAUGACUUGUGAACUUAAUUGUUCUGUCUCCUGAUGUAUGAAGCUUUGGUCUCUAUAUUGCAUGUGCUAUUCUUUAUACGAGGAGACGCAAGCCGGAGGUAUCUUCCAAGUAUGGAGUCCUCGCCUUAUCUUCAUUCAAAGGAGCUCUGAUGUAGUCAACAUGCAUUGUUUUGUUGUUUUUUUUUUUUGUUUCUUUUGAUCUGGCCAUUCCUUAUUCUAGUUUAGGUCGGUAAAAUUAAAGAUCGGUUUAUCUUUCUGUUGAUCAUUGUUUCCCAUGUGUAGGUUGUUGUUUCCGGGUACCUUUUGUUUGGUUCGUCGGACUGUUCUUACCGGGAUUAGUGGUAAUCGCCAGUCAAUGUAUCUUGUGUUUGUUAAUCAUAAUGAAAAUAGUGUUUAAAAAAUA
Molecule: long non-coding RNA, 2041 nt
Organism: Brassica napus (rape)
Lineage: Eukaryota; Viridiplantae; Streptophyta; Magnoliopsida; Brassicales; Brassicaceae
Exons: 2
Source: RefSeq, a predicted model, not a curated record